Molecule: ribosomal RNA, 482 nt
Filed under: uncultured bacterium
Lineage: Bacteria
Description: partial 16S ribosomal RNA
Rfam family: Bacterial small subunit ribosomal RNA
Source: RNAcentral
GAUGAACGCUAGCGGCAGGCCUAAUACAUGCAAGUCGAACGAGAUUAAGAGGCUUGCUUCUUAUGAAAGUGGCGCACGGGUGCGUAACGCGUAUGCAACCCACCUUAAUCAGGGGGAUAGCCCGAAGAAAUUCGGAUUAAGACCGCAUAAAAACACAGGAUAGCAUUAUCCAAUGUUCAAAUAUUUAUAGGAUUAAGAUGGGCAUGCGUGUCAUUAGCUAGUUGGCGGGGUAACGGCCCACCAAGGCGACGAUGACUAGGGGAUCUGAGAGGAUGACCCCCCACACUGGUACUGAGACACGGACCAGACUCCUACGGGAGGCAGCAGUAAGGAAUAUUGGUCAAUGGAGGGAACUCUGAACCAGCCAUGCCGCGUGCAGGAAGACAGCCCUCUGGGUCGUAAACUGCUUUUAUUCGGGAAUAAACCUUUCUACGUGUAGGAAGCUGAAUGUACCGAAGGAAUAAGGAUCGGCUAACUCCGUG